This 440-nucleotide ribosomal RNA is filed under the name uncultured bacterium. RNAcentral describes it as "partial 16S ribosomal RNA". It matches the Rfam family "Bacterial small subunit ribosomal RNA", at positions 338 to 795 of the family's 1533-position model. The record is from RNAcentral.
CCUACGGGAGGCAGCAGUGGGGAAUAUUGCACAAUGGGGGAAACCCUGAUGCAGCGACGCCGCGUGCGUGAUGAAGUAUUUCGGUACGUAAAGCUCUAUCAGCAGGGAGGAAACUGACGGUACCUGACUAGGUAUCCCCGGCUAACUACGUUCCAGCAGCCGCGGUAAUACGUCGGGGGCAGGCGUUAUCCGGAUUUACUGGGGGUAAAGGGAGCGUAGACGGCAGCGCAGGUCUGGAGUGAAAUUCCAUGGGUUAACCAUGGAACUGCUUUGGAAACUGUGCAGCUGGAGUGCAGGAGAGGCAAGCGGAAUUCCUAGUGUAGCGGUGAAAUGCGUAGAUAUUAGGAGGAACACCAGUGGCGAAGGCGGCUUACUGGACUGUAACUGACGUUGAGGCUCGAAAGCGUGGGGAGCAAACAGGAUUAGAUACCCGAGUAGUC